Triticum urartu is the source of this 135-nucleotide non-coding RNA. Lineage: Eukaryota; Viridiplantae; Streptophyta; Magnoliopsida; Poales; Poaceae. The record is from Rfam.
GAAAUACUCCCUUCGUCUGGAAAUACUUGUCAUCAAAAUGGAUAAAAGGAAAUGUAUCUAGACGUAUUUUAGUUUUAGAUACAUCUCUUUUUAUCCAUUUUGAUGACAAGUAUUUUCGGACGGAGGGAGUAGAAA